Molecule: long non-coding RNA, 623 nt
Filed under: Pan troglodytes (chimpanzee)
Lineage: Eukaryota; Metazoa; Chordata; Mammalia; Primates; Hominidae
Description: lincRNA
Source: RNAcentral
GUGACUGUGGUGGGGAAGGAACACAGAUGGUGCUGCGAGGCCGUCUCCAGACUGUGGAAGCCACAAGCCACUGGCGUCUGCUUCUGUGGAGAAACAAACUUCAGCCACCCACGGGCGCCUCCGCAAGGGCCGGGCUGAUUCCUCGAGAGUGGCUGGCGCUGGGCCUGCCCAGCACUCUUCCCUACCCUACGCUUACCUUCCUCUCCUCCCCUAUCCUCUGGGGCAAUUCAGAAACGGAAGACACGGUGGAUGUGAGAAGGGAGUGGGGAGGAUGGGGAAAGGCGGGUUGGAAAACCUGGCCUGGAGGUAAUAAAAGUGACUUCCCACCCAGUGAAGGCAGCACUGACACCCGCUCCAUGCAGUCCCGGGAUGGCCACCAAGUGAGGAAGCAGCAAAAAAGAGAAGACGCAGGGAAGGAAUUACCUAGAGAUCCCCAGGACUGCCACGCUGGGCCAGACUCACAGGACACUACUUCCCUGAAUUAUUCGCUUCUAGAACUAUUGAUGAUGGGUUCAUCUAACCCUUCCUUGAUUUGUUUGUUUUCACUAUGUUAUUUAUAAAGAUAAUGGGUUGUAUGAUAAAUACUUCUUUUUUCUUUCUCUCUCUCUCUCUUUUUUUUUUUU